GAUGAACGCUGGCGGCGUGCCUAAUACAUGCAAGUCGUACGAACAGCGGAAAGUGCUUGCACUUUCCAAGUAAGUGGCGAACGGGUGAGUAACACGUGAAUAACCUACCUCAAAGACUGGGAUAACCAUUGGAAACAGUGACUAAUACCGGAUAAAACCCAGUAGCACAUGCUACAAGGUUAAAAGCUGUGUUUGCAGCGCUUUAAGAUGGAUUCGCGGUGCAUUAGUUAGUUGGUGAGGUAAAGGCUCACCAAGACAAUGAUGCAUAGCCGGGUUGAGAGACUGCCCGAGCACAUUGGGAGUGAGACGCGGUCCAAACUCCUACGGGAGGCUGCAGUAGGGAAUCUUCCAGAAUGGUCGCAAGUCUGAUGUGGCAACGCCGCGUGUGUGAUGAAGGCUUUCGGGUCGUAAAGCACUGUUGUAUGGGAAGAACGGGUUUAAGAGGAAAUGCUUAAGCAGUGACGGUACCAUACCAGAAAGGGACGGCUAAAUACGUGCCAGCCGCCAGCGUUCGUUCUGAGCCAUGAUCAAAC
Molecule: ribosomal RNA, 533 nt
Filed under: uncultured bacterium
Lineage: Bacteria
Description: bacterial SSU rRNA
Rfam family: Bacterial small subunit ribosomal RNA
Source: RNAcentral